Molecule: ribosomal RNA, 117 nt
Filed under: Oscillospiraceae bacterium
Lineage: Bacteria; Bacillati; Bacillota; Clostridia; Eubacteriales; Oscillospiraceae
Source: RNAcentral
ACCGGUGACGAUAGCGAGGAGGGUCCACCCGUUCCCAUCCCGAACACGGCAGUUAAGCUCCUUAGCGCCGAAGAUACUUGUUGGGCAACCGACCGGGAAAAUAGGACGUUGCCGGUA